This is a non-coding RNA of Salvia hispanica, 2311 nucleotides long. NCBI's taxonomy places the organism in Eukaryota, Viridiplantae, Streptophyta, Magnoliopsida, Lamiales, Lamiaceae. The record is from RefSeq and is a predicted model, not a curated record.
GCCGCCAAGGCCUCGCUCUCCUCCUUCACGAAAUUUCUUCUUCUUCUCGACGCGUCAUCUUCUUCUUCACUGCGAAAAGCAUGACUUCCCGCUUGGCUAGCUCCGCCAUAUGCUGUCUGCAGAGCUCCGCCAUGUGCUGCCUUUCUCUCCGCAGAGGUGUUCGAUCUUCCAUUUACGUUUCAGCGCCCGAAGCUCGAUUCGUCCGCAGAAACUUAGAAAAGAUUGAUCCUCGACAGUUGAAACCUUGGGAUAUUGAUCGUGAAUUGGCUAAACCCCCAGCUUUCCAUUGGCCACCUGAUCUUGCUUUGAGCGUGUAAGAGAUAAAAUGUACAUCAUCAUGCUUACAACUUUCCAAGGCAGACAUCUACCCUAAGCCUGAGACCGUUGUUUAUUAUCAUGAUCAUAUUCCCUUAAAGAGGAUGGCACCAUCUCACCCAACUAUCACAUAUGUCUUCCUUCUUUUCUAAAGGAAAACUAUACUUUAAGUGGGCCUACUUGUAAUGGUCUACUUCAUUUUCAUAGUUUUAAGUCGGGUCAUGCUCUUUGGAACCCAACUACGAGUGAGUAUAAGAUCCUGCCUAAGCCCCUUACAGAACCCCCUGAUCUACUUAGGUGGUUUAUAACAGCAUAUGGAAUGUGGUCUGACCAUAAAUUUGAAGAUGUCAAAGUGAUGCAUCUUAAACAAUUUUGGUUGGAAGAUAAUGCUGGCGAGUUAUAUUACUUUGACUUGUAUUCACUUAAAACUAAUUCCUGGAGGAGAAUAAAUUACACCGAGUAUGACUUUUUUCCCUUAAGAUAUUGUGCUUGCCUGGAUGGCAUUUUUUAUUGUAAAGCAUAUAAAAGAGGAGUCUGUGGCCCUGUCUUCUGUUCAUUUGACCUUUCUACUGAAACCAUGUCCACUUUACCCUUUCCUGAACUUAGUAAGUCCAAUUUUAAAAUUAUAAAGUAUAAGGGGCUGUUAAGUGUUGUUGAGUGGUUGGAUGAUAAAGAUGAUGUGCCUUGGAAGUUCCAACUCUGGAGUAUGAGAGAUGGAUCUUGGACAAGAGAAUCUGCUUUCCAUACUCGUGGUAUUAGGCGGAUGUUAUGGUCCUCGCCGGACGGUAAGCUAUUGUAUUUUGCAAGCUUGAAUGAUGAGCUAGUGGUGUUUGAUCGUAGCAUUGGAAUGUUGAAGCAUCUUGGUGUCAAAUGGUUUUCGUCUAAACCAAAAACCAUUCCGUUUGUUGAAAACUUUGGUCAACUCAAUGGAAUUUCACAUGUUGAGGAGACGCAUGAGCAGAAGAAAGAAGAAAAAGAUGAGGACGCAUAAGAAGUAUCAUUCAAUUAGGUUGCAUUUCCAAUAUGGGUUGUUUAUUCUUUUCCCAGAAGCAGAAUCUGUCCAUUACUUUCAUUUUGGAUACCCACUGUUCACGCUUUAUUGAUUCAAAAGAACAGUCUAGAAGGAACCAAUCUGGCUAUCCCAAGGGCAGUGAACCACAAACUGCGAGGAGGCACUGAGACUCUCUUGUUCGUAGCUGGGUGAGUUUUGACCCUCCAAAGUCAACAGUAAACAUGGUGCUAAAAGAAGAUUAUGAGAAGGGAAGUCCGAAUCGGCCAUUGCUAAACAUAAAUACACAAUAUCUCAGUCCUCAGAAGAAAUCUGAGGUUUCUCAUUCAGAACUUUCGAAUACCUCCGGAGCUUUUCCAAACCAUCACAAAAGCAAAGGUAUGAUGAAGGUUCAACGGAAAUAGUAUUUGAUUAGGUCUCUUGGUUUUGAUAAAAAUAAACUCAGAAACCAGUCUAUUUCAAAAAUGUAUUCAAGGAUCAUCAACAAGGAUCCUUCUGCAUGGCUAGAAGAUUACAAAACAAAGAGUAGCCCUCCUGGGGCAAAAUUCCCUUUUGUUACAAGCCAGUCUAAAUUUCCCCAGCAGCCUGCCACAAGCUUCCGGCCGUUAACAUCAAUGCCUGAGCAGUCUCUGGCUUCACCCUUUGGCUCGACUGGGAAUUUAGAAAACUUAAAGGCAACAACCAAGGAUCAGAAGAACACUAAUCUGGUGCUGAGACAUCAGAUACUAAAUUUCCAGCAACUUUCUUUUCUGCUUUUAGCUUUUCCCCUAAUCAACCAGAGAAGAGUGUGUUCAGUAAAAGUUUGGAAAGGCCAAGUAGUCCUAAUGAUGGUCCGUUAGCUUCUAGCCCACUGCAAAUGGUUUUGGAUCCAUCAUCACCUUUGAGUAACAGUUAUCCAGUACCCUCCUCCGUGGCAAAACCAAGUUCAGCAAAAUUAUUUCCUGCAUCUCAUUUCUGUUCUGAAGCCAAGGAGGGUGUGUCACAGCG